UAGGGAAUCUUCCGCAAUGGACGCAAGUCUGACGGAGCAACGCCGCGUGAGUGAAGAAGGAUUUCGGUUCGUAAAACUCUGUUGUUAGAGAAGAACAGCGCAUAGAGUAACUGUUAUGCGUGUGACGGUAUCUAACCAGAAAGCCACGGCUAACUACGUGCCAGCAGCCGCGGUAAUACGUAGGUGGCAAGCGUUGUCCGGAUUUAUUGGGCGUAAAGCGAGCGCAGGCGGUCAAUUAAGUCUGAUGUGAAAGCCCCCGGCUCAACCGGGGAGGGUCAUUGGAAACUGGUUGACUUGAGUGCAGAAGAGGCGAGUGUAAUUCCAUGUGUAGCGGUGAAAUGCGUAGAUAUAUGGAGGAACACCGGUGGCGAAAGCGGCUCUCUGGUCUGUAACUGACGCUGAGGCUCGAAAGCGUGGGGAGCGAACAGG
This 429-nucleotide ribosomal RNA is filed under the name Bacteroidota bacterium. RNAcentral's name for it is "Bacteroidetes bacterium partial 16S ribosomal RNA". It matches the Rfam family "Bacterial small subunit ribosomal RNA", at positions 355 to 776 of the family's 1533-position model. The record is from RNAcentral. Lineage: Bacteria; Pseudomonadati; Bacteroidota.